UAUGCAGGGUCGCGGGGCAGGCCUGGGGCGGCGCUGGCAGCCUCCUUGCUCGGAAACCUGACUCUGGGGCAGCUGCAGUGGGGCUUGAGGAAGAAGACAAAUUCAACACCCUGCCUGACAUCAAACACCUUUAAGUAACCAGACUGCUUCAGCCAUUAUCUGCUCCUAAUUUACAUUCUCACAGAACAGCUUUUUACAAAUGCACUUUUCCACUCAGGAGAAACCCCAACAUUUCAGGUUUCUCCUCUGCAAGAUGAAGUUUCCUUUCUACCUGGGAGAACUCUUAACAUCUUGGAUUGCUCCUUUGCCUGAUGAAGGGUGUCUGAACCCAAAAGGUUGCAAAGAAAAACAUGUUAUUUUGCAACUAUUUAGUUGGUCUAAUAAAAGAUAUCACCUCUGCCCCAA
Long non-coding RNA from Alligator mississippiensis (American alligator), 405 nucleotides. RefSeq lists it as uncharacterized. The record is from RefSeq and is a predicted model, not a curated record. The transcript is spliced from 2 exons. Lineage: Eukaryota; Metazoa; Chordata; Crocodylia; Alligatoridae.